UAAUCCCAUAAAACUAUUCUCAGUUCGGAUUGUAGGCUGCAACUCGCCUACAUGAAGCCGGAAUCGCUAGUAAUCGUGGAUCAGCAUGCCACGGUGAAUACGUUCCCGGGCCUUGUACACACCGCCCGUCACACCACGAGAGUUUGUAACACCCGAAGUCGGUAGGGUAACCUUUAUGGAGCCAGCCGCCGAAGGUGGGACAGAUAAUUGGGGUGAAGUCGUAACAAGGUAGCCGUAUCGGAAGGUGCGGCUGGAUCACCUCCUUUCUAAGGAA
Molecule: ribosomal RNA, 274 nt
Filed under: Listeria monocytogenes
Lineage: Bacteria; Bacillati; Bacillota; Bacilli; Caryophanales; Listeriaceae
Also listed under: 2 other names
Description: partial 16S ribosomal RNA
Rfam family: Bacterial small subunit ribosomal RNA
Source: RNAcentral